This 470-nucleotide ribosomal RNA is filed under the name uncultured bacterium. RNAcentral describes it as "bacterial SSU rRNA". It matches the Rfam family "Bacterial small subunit ribosomal RNA", at positions 329 to 793 of the family's 1533-position model. The record is from RNAcentral.
GCAGAGCAUCCUACGGGAGGCAGCAGUGGGAAUAUUGCACAAUGGGCGCAAGCCUGAUGCAGCCAUGCCGCGUGUAUGAAGAAGGCCUUCGGGUUGUAAAGUACUUUCAGCAGUGAGGAAGGUGGGUAUGUUAAUAGCAUAUUCAUUUGACGUUAGCUGCAGAAGAAGCACCGGCUAACUCCGUGCCAGCAGCCGCGGUAAUACGGAGGGUGCGAGCGUUAAUCGGAAUUACUGGGCGUAAAGCGCAUGCAGGUGGUUUGUUAAGUCAGAUGUGAAAGCCCGGGGCUCAACCUCGGAAUUGCAUUUGAAACUGGCAAACUAGAGUACUGUAGAGGGGGUAGAAUUUCAGGUGUAGCGGUGAAAUGCGUAGAGAUCUGAAGGAAUACCGGUGGCGAAGGCGGCCCCCUGGACAGAUACUGACACUCAGAUGCGAAAGCGUGGGGAGCAAACAGGAUUAGAUACCCUGGUAG